CCUUCCCCGUGUAAUUUAAACAUAGUAGUAAGCAGAUGAGGACCAUCAGNCUUGGAUUUUGUAAGUAGUUGCGAAUGAACACAAAUUUGAUCACUUUGGCAAUCUGUACACAUUGCUGUGUAACAAUUUGUAUACGUUGGCACAGUGCUAUCAAAGCUGCAUGCAAGUGUUUUUUGAAAGGAUACAACAUGGGAUGUGAUAUUCAUGUGUGUGUGCCUGCUUUGUCCACAGCCUGUGCUGUAUGAAUCACAUUUCUUGCAACUGAAAUGCUAAUGGCAUGGUAAAGUUCAUGUGACAUGACACAAGCUUGAGAUUCAUGAUGUGCAAGUACCAUGAGGGAAAUGUGAAAAGGACUUUGGAAAGAGAAUUAAAUAAAGCCUGCAUUUGCUGACAAUGAAAGCAAGUGUGGAUGUUCAUGUAAUUGUUACUGCAUCAAUCAAUGUUCAUCUUGGUUACUGCAUGCUUUAUAUUACAGCUCAGAACAUGAAGUGUGUGUAACAGCUCUGCUUUGAUUUUUCCCACAUGGGAUCAGUUGAAACAUUGUGAGAGCACUCUUCAGUUUCCUUAUGUACCCACCAGCUUUGUCCACUCGCGUGUUGGCACACAUGUAAUGAUGAUGUGUUUAUGCAAGAUACUUCUGUGCUCAACAACAUGUGUCAUCUCCUGACUUUAUCUUAAUUAUUUAAAAUUAAAAAGGAA
This 699-nucleotide ribosomal RNA is filed under the name Ostreopsis ovata. Its description in RNAcentral is "eukaryotic LSU rRNA". It matches the Rfam family "Eukaryotic large subunit ribosomal RNA", at positions 24 to 631 of the family's 3401-position model. Lineage: Eukaryota; Dinophyceae; Peridiniales; Ostreopsidaceae. The record is from RNAcentral.